UAGAAGGUGGUGUAGACGAAGCAUAAGGAGUUUUGAAUUCCUAGACAUGGGUUCAAAUCCCUUCCUUCUAA
This 71-nucleotide transfer RNA is filed under the name Chauliodus sloani (Sloane's viperfish). Its description in RNAcentral is "tRNA-Gln". It matches the Rfam family "tRNA". From Rfam's summary of the family: Transfer RNA (tRNA) molecules are approximately 80 nucleotides in length. The record is from RNAcentral. Lineage: Eukaryota; Metazoa; Chordata; Actinopteri; Stomiiformes; Stomiidae.